AUGAACGCUGGCGGCGUGCCUAAUACAUGCAAGUCGAGCGAACGGACGAGAAGCUUGCUUCUCUGAUGUUAGCGGCGGACGGGUGAGUAACACGUGGAUAACCUACCUAUAAGACUGGGAUAACUUCGGGAAACCGGAGCUAAUACCGGAUAAUAUUUUGAACCGCAUGGUUCAAAAGUGAAAGACGGUCUUGCUGUCACUUAUAGAUGGAUCCGCGCUGCAUUAGCUAGUUGGUAAGGUAACGGCUUACCAAGGCAACGAUGCAUAGCCGGCCUGAGAGGGUGAUCGGCCACACUGGAACUGAGACACGGUCCAGACUCCUACGGGAGGCAGCAGUAGGGAAUCUUCCGCAAUGGGCGAAAGCCUGACGGAGCAACGCCGCGUGAGUGAUGAAGGUCUUCGGAUCGUAAAACUCUGUUAUUAGGGAAGAACAUAUGUGUAAGUAACUGUGCACAUCUUGACGGUACCUAAUCAGAAAGCCACGGCUAACUACGUG
Molecule: ribosomal RNA, 496 nt
Filed under: uncultured bacterium
Lineage: Bacteria
Description: partial 16S ribosomal RNA
Rfam family: Bacterial small subunit ribosomal RNA
Source: RNAcentral